AAGUCGUAACAAGGUUUCCGUAGGUGAACCUGCGGAAGGAUCAUUAACACAAAUGUUUCCAAACCUUUUAACUUUGGCGCAUAGUUUUAUCCCUCUCAUAUCUUUCAUUGAAGUCUUGCAUUUCAAUUUGAGAUCGAAUGAGUGUCGAUUCUGCAAUGGUUGAAUCUGGCGAAUCGAUUUAAGCAGAGAGCUUUUCGGAGCUUUCUGCGGCUUAUUCGGGAGGAGUAGUAAUCAGUCUCAACCAUGGCUGAGCCCCUUUAUUUUUUUAACCAAUCGAUUUUUUCAACUUUUUUUCUUUUAUUGAUUCGAUUCAGUUCGAAUGAAUAGAGGAGCACAUUUUCAAUUGGAAAGCUUCAAACCUUUCUAAUUUUAAUGUAAAACACAACUCUUAACAGCGGAUAUCUCGGUUCUC
This 412-nucleotide unclassified non-coding RNA is filed under the name fungal sp. Its description in RNAcentral is "partial internal transcribed spacer region". The stretch from base 1 to 46 matches the Rfam family "Eukaryotic small subunit ribosomal RNA", at positions 1786 to 1831 of the family's 1831-position model. Lineage: Eukaryota; Fungi. The record is from RNAcentral.